UACGGAGGGGGGCUAGCGUUGUUCGGAAUUACUGGGCGUAAAGCGCACGUAGGCGGCGAUUUAAGUCAGAGGUGAAAGCCCGGGGCUCAACCCCGGAAUAGCCUUUGAGACUGGAUUGCUAGAAUCUUGGAGAGGCGGGUGGAAUUCCGAGUGUAGAGGUGAAAUUCGUAGAUAUUCGGAAGAACACCAGUGGCGAAGGCGGCCCGCUGGACAAGUAUUGACGCUGAGGUGCGAAAGCGUGGGGGAGCAAACAGG
Molecule: ribosomal RNA, 255 nt
Filed under: uncultured bacterium
Lineage: Bacteria
Description: partial 16S ribosomal RNA
Rfam family: Bacterial small subunit ribosomal RNA
Source: RNAcentral